This is a non-coding RNA of Ciona savignyi (Pacific transparent sea squirt), 72 nucleotides long. Lineage: Eukaryota; Metazoa; Chordata; Ascidiacea; Phlebobranchia; Cionidae. The record is from Rfam.
UCCCAGGUGGUCUAGUGGUUAGGAUUCGUGGCUCUCACCCACGCGGUCCGGGUCCAAUUCCCGGUCUGGGAA